GACGAACGCUGGCGGCGUGCUUAACACAUGCAAGUCGAACGGAAAGGCCCUGCUUUUGUGGGGUGCUCGAGUGGCGAACGGGUGAGUAACACGUGAGUAACCUGCCCUUGACUUUGGGAUAACUUCAGGAAACUGGGGCUAAUACCGUAUAGGAGCUCCUGCUGCAUGGUGGGGGUUGGAAAUUUUCUGCGGUUGGGGAUGGACUAGCGGCUUACGAGCUUGUUGGUGGGGUAGUGGCUUACCAAGGCUUUGACGGGUAGCCGGCCUGAGAGGGUGACCGGCCACAUUGGGACUGAGAUACGGCCCAGACUCCUACGGGAGGCAGCAGUGGGGAAUAUUGCACAAUGAGCGGAAGCCUGAUGCAGCAACGCCGCGUGCGGGAUGACGGCCUUCGGGUUGUAAACCGCUUUCGCCUGUGACGAAGCGUGAGUGACGGUAAUGGGUAAAGAAGCACCGGCUAACUACGUG
Molecule: ribosomal RNA, 468 nt
Filed under: uncultured bacterium
Lineage: Bacteria
Description: partial 16S ribosomal RNA
Rfam family: Bacterial small subunit ribosomal RNA
Source: RNAcentral